Molecule: long non-coding RNA, 4520 nt
Filed under: Homo sapiens (human)
Lineage: Eukaryota; Metazoa; Chordata; Mammalia; Primates; Hominidae
Description: HSALNT0142089
Source: RNAcentral
CAAGUCUUUCCCAUGCUGUUCUUGUGACAGUGAAUAAGUCUCACAAGAUCUGACGGUCUUUAAAAGAGGAAUUCCCCUGCACAAGUUCCCUCUCUUUGCCUGCUAUCAUCUAUGUAAGACGUGACUUGCUGUACUUUGCCUUCUGCCAUGAUUGUGAGGCUUCACCAGCCCUGUGGAACUGAGGGAAGUGUUUUUCUCAAAAACACAUUGUAGUGUUCUGUGGAAGGCAGCAAGAAAUGAAGCUGAAAUGGAAGGCAGAAUAUAGACUGUGAACAGUCCUGAAAUCUUAACCAACACAGGGACUACGUCCUGAGAUUUUUGAAGACCUCUAAAGAUCUUCAAAGGACCUUGAAACUACCAUUACUUCAUGCAGCCUUCUCUUUUAAAAACAUGUAUAUUUUAUAAGUUCAAAAUGUAAUUCUGCUCAUUGAUUUACAUAUGCUGCAAGGUCCCUCUAGGAUUUGCCAUUAGUGAGAUUUUAACAUGUGUCUCUACAAAUUUAAAGAAAUGAGAUGGAAAGGACAUAUUCAUAUUACAAUCAGGCAAAGAGUCUAAUCCAAGACUAUUAAUGCUGAGGCUUCACUAAAAUCCAAGUGGCAGGACAACUGGAAAGUACAAGUUCUCUUAGUGGAAGCCUACCAACAAUCAAUAUAUUUAAUGAUAUUCCAUGAGCUAGGAUCAUUUUCCCUAGCAAUAAAAAUGAUUAUGCAUGAUAUAAAAUUACAAACAGGAGCAAAUAUAUUUGAAAAAACAAACACACCAGAAAGCAAAAAUUGUCAGUUUAAGAAUUGAUUCCCAUAUUCCAGUGCUAAUGUGGAUCAGGAAAAAGAAAACUUGAAUACUUCAUGUGAGAAAAAUUUGGGGUAAAUUCUAUGAAUUCAGCACAGCUACAUUUGUUCACAAGACUAUGUAACCAAUAUAUGUUCCUAAUACAAGUAAUGAUGUAGCUUUAUUUGGAUUUAUGAUAGCCUAUAUCAUAAAAUACCAAAAUAGUAAUCAGCCUCCACUAAAUAAUGUUUAAACUUCUCUCUAAUGAAUAGAGAGAAAUGUGUCCACCAAUAUCUGGUAUGUUUGCCUUAAUUUUCCUAUGUCUCCCAAAGUUGCCAAGCAAAUAGAUUUUCUUGAAUUCUGCCUGCCUCCUUCCUCUUCAAUAUUCAAUCCCCUUUGUUAUUAACAGAAAGCAAAAUUGGCUCUUUUUCUCAACCUUUCCAUUAAUAUUUGAAACUUAUUUAUAUGUUAGGUAAUUUUUGUUAGCACAAAAUCAGUAGAAGACAUCAAAGUUUAAGAAAAAACAAUUAGGGUGAAGACACAAAUUGAGAAAUUUAUACAAGGAGACUUCAAAAAGUUUGUAAAAAUGUAUAUUAUGAAAAAAAAUUACGCAUAGAUUUCCUUUUUUUUUUUUUUUUUUUUUUUUACCAAAUGGACUUCUACCAUCUUCUUAUAACAUGUUUGAAUAGAAUCUACUUUCAUGCACCAAGAAGGAUAAAAUACUAGUUUGAAAAAAUUCCCCUAUCAGAGCAACAUGAAUUCUGCAAAAAUUACAUGAAGAACAAACAUCAAACUUAUGGUGAGGUUUGGGUGGAAGAAUGGUGAAAUUCAUUGAUGCUUUACAAAAAGUGUAUGGGAACAACGCACCCAAACAAUCAGGAGUUUACAAAUGGAUAACUCAUUUUAAGAAGGAAUGAGAGAAGAAGAUGAAGCCUGCAAAAGCACACCAUUCACAUCAAUUUGUGAGGAAAAAUAUCAUCUCGUUUGUGCUCUAAUUGAAGAGGAUCAAUGUUUAACAGAAGAAACAAUAGCUAAUUGCCUAGACAUCUCAACUGAUUCAGCUUACACAAUUCCACUCAAGGGAUGCCAAAACUUUUGUGCCCAGAUCAGCUGCAGACGAGAACAAAGCUUUCAAUUUCAAUGGAAAUUUUAAACAAGUAGGAUCAAGACCCUGAAGCAUUUCUUUGAAGAACUAUAACAGGAGAUGAAACAUGGCUUUACCAGUACAAUCCUGAAGACAAAGCACAACCAAAGCAAUGGCUACCAAAAGGUGGAAGUGGUUCAGUCAAAGCAAAAACAGACUGGUCAAGAGCAAAGGUCAUGGCAACAGUUUUUUGGGAAGUUCAAGGCAUUCUGCUGGUUGACUUUCUGGAGAAACCAAGGAAAAUACUGCUUAUUAUAAGAGGGUUUUGAGACAGUUAACCAAAGCUUUUGCAGGAAAGCUUCACCAGAGAGUCCUUUCUACUGCAACAAUGCUCCUGCUCAUUCCUCUCAUCAAACAAGGGUAAAUUUGAAAGUUUCAGUGGGAAAUCAUUAGGCAUUCAUGGUUUUUUGUUUUGUGUUGUUUUGAAAUGGAGUUUUGCUCUUGUCACUCAGGCUGGAGUGCAAUGGCACAAUCUCGGCGCACUGCAACCUCUGCCUCCCGGGUUCAAGGGAUUCUCUUGCCUCAGCCUCCUGAGUAGUUGGGAUUACAAGUGCAUGACAGUAUGCCUGGCUAAUUUUUGUAUUUUUGGUAGAGAUAGGGUUUCACCAUGUUGGCCAGGUUCGUCUCAACCUCCUGACCUCAGGUGAUUUGCCCGCCUUGGCCUCCCAAAGUGCUGGGAUUACAGGUGUGAGCCACCACACCCAGCCAGGCAUUCACCUUAUAGUCCUGAUUUGGCUCCUUUUGACUUCCUUUUCUUUUGUAAUCUUAAAAAACUCUUUACAGGGCACUCAUUUUUCUUAAGUUAAUAAUGUAAAAAAGAUGGCAUUGACAUGGUUAAAUUCCCAGGACCCUCCUUAGAGAUGGACAAAAUGGCUGGUAUCAUUGCUUACAAAAGUGUCUUGAACUUGAUAGAGCUUUGUUGAGAAAUAGAGUUCAUAUUUUUAAAUUUAUAUUUUAAUUCCAUUUUUAAUUCCCUUUUUAUAUACAUUCAAUUUUUCUAUAAUUCAAUUUUUCUCUAAACCUUUUGUAGUCCCUUCAUAUUUAUUACCUUGCUUUGUAUGUCUGUAACUUAGAAAAACUGCACCAAUUCAAUUUAUUUGUGGCAUAUCUAUAACCUCCAAAAUAGUAUAGUUUGAGCAGCAUGACUAUAAAUAUUUAAAAUAUAUGUAUAUAAUAAAUGUGCUAUCACAUUACAAUUUUUUCUUACUUUACAAGUAGCACUAUAUUCACCGUCCAUACAAGUUUUACUCUUUGAAGAAUACAUCUAUCUUGUCAUUAUCAUUAGAAAUUAGGAAAUACUUUUGGUUCCUAGAUUCCACAGAAACAUAUGAGAUCCAAUUACUACAGUUAAAUAAAAGCACUUAUGCUGACCUUGAUAUAAUUAAAUCAAUACCUAGAUGCUGAAAACAAAAAAGUCUAGGGAGUUGAAAGGCCAGCUCUCCAAUUAAUUAAAGCAAAACUGUUAUCAUGUAAGAAGUGAUAUUAUCUAAAGUGAAAAACAAAACAGAAGACCAGAAACCUGAGAAUCAUCCUCUACUCCUUUUUCUCUCUCAUCCCCAACAUCUAAUUGGCCAUAAAGCUUUUCAAUUAUAUCUUAUUAAUAUCUCUUGAAUCUGCUGCCAUUUCAUCUACACAACCACAACUACUGCCUUCAGAGUUUCCCUUGUGAACCAAUGCAACAGCCUCCUCUUAAAUUUCUUUCCUUGGGCUUAUUCUCACCAUGUAAUGCAUACUUCACUUUCCAAAAUAAAAAGUCCUCUUUAAAAUUCAAAACUUUUGUUACUCUAAAAAUCCAAGUCCUUCAAUGAGGCUACUCUUUCUCCAAGAAAAAAGCCUAUGCCACAUUUUAAAUCUAUACCAUUUGACUACUCCAGCUAUGUGGGUUUAUCUCAUCAGCUAUAAAGGGUAGCAUUUAUUAAGGGUUUACUAUAUAACUGGCACUGCAAUAAGCACUUUAUUUAUUUAAUUAUAAAGCAAUCUUUCAAAUUAGAACUAUGUAUUAUGGGUGAGAUAACUUGGUUUUUAGGGAACCUCAAAAAUUUUCUGAGUGUCACAUGGCCAUCAAAUGGCAGCGUCAAGAUAGAAACCUGAGUCUGACUCCAGAGUAAAUGCUCUUAUAUCUAUCUGCAUUCCAGGAGGUCCCUUCAAAUGCCAAGCCAUUCUCAUAUCUAUCUUUAAAUUCUUAUUUGCCAGAAGGAAUUCUUUUGACUUUUGAUGAGGUUUUCCCUGACUCUACCACCAGUAACCCCUAAUACAAAUGAUCUCCACCUUCUCUGUUCAUCACCUAAAUUAUACAAGAUAUUUUCAUACUUUGGCCAUUGUGAGAGUCACUUUGGGACCUUGGUAAAAAUGCAAAUACUUGAGUGAAUCUCAGAUAAACUGACUUGACAUUCUGGGUUGGUAGCCUUGUCAUCUGGAGUUUCUAAAAGACUUCAAGAUGAUUGCAAUGCACAAUUAUCUGAGAAGUACUAACUUACAUAAACAUAUUAAUAGUGCUUACACCAUUUUGCAAUUGCUCUACUUGUUUACAUGUCCUUACUCUUAAUUAGUCUAAAAAUAUUUUAAGGCUAGAUGUUACACAAAUUUGCAGCACCUACACCUAGAAAAU